Molecule: small nuclear RNA, 188 nt
Organism: Rattus norvegicus (Norway rat)
Lineage: Eukaryota; Metazoa; Chordata; Mammalia; Rodentia; Muridae
Product: U2 spliceosomal RNA
Source: Ensembl
AUUGCUUCUCGGCCUUUUGGCUAAGAUCAAGUGUAGUAUCUGUUCUUAUCAGUUUAAUAUCUGAUAUAUCCUCUAUCCUAGAACAGCAUAUUAAAUGGAUUUUUGGAAUUAGGAGUUGGAAUGGGAGCUUGCUCCAUCCACGCCAUGUAUCAACCUGGUAUUGCAGAAAUUAAAAUGUCAAAAGGUUU